UAAUACCGAAUACGCUCUACGGAGGAAAGAGGGGGCUUCGGCUCUCGCUAUUGGAUGGGCCUGCGUGAGAUUAGCUAGUUGGUGAGGUAAUGGCUCACCAAGGCGACGAUCUCUAGCUGGUCUGAGAGGAUGAUCAGCCACACUGGGACUGAGACACGGCCCAGACUCCUACGGGAGGCAGCAGUCGGGGAAUAUUGCACAAUGGGCGCAAGCCUGAUGCAGCCAUGCCGCGUGUGUGAAGAAGGCUUUCGGGUUGUAAAGCACUUUCAGUGGGGAGGAAGGCCUCGUAGUUAAUAGCUGCGAGGAUUGACGUUACCCACAGAAGAAGCACCGGCUAACUCCGUG
This 345-nucleotide ribosomal RNA is filed under the name uncultured bacterium. RNAcentral describes it as "bacterial SSU rRNA". It matches the Rfam family "Bacterial small subunit ribosomal RNA", at positions 164 to 507 of the family's 1533-position model. The record is from RNAcentral.